RNAcentral lists this ribosomal RNA (253 nucleotides) under uncultured bacterium. RNAcentral describes it as "partial 16S ribosomal RNA". It matches the Rfam family "Bacterial small subunit ribosomal RNA", at positions 524 to 776 of the family's 1533-position model. The record is from RNAcentral.
UACGAAGGGGGCUAGCGUUGUUCGGAUUUACUGGGCGUAGAGCGCACGUAGGCGGAUUGUUAAGUCGGGGGGGAAAUCCUGGAGCUCAACUCCAGAAUUGCCUUCGAUACUGGCUUUCUAGAGGCUGGAAGAGGUUAGUGGAAUUCCCAGUGUAGAGGUGAAAUUCGUAGAUAUUGGGAAGAACACCAGUGGCGAAGGCGGCUAACUGGUCCAGAUCUGACGCUGAGGUGCGAAAGCGUGGGGAGCAAACAGG